UUGCAGAUAUAUAUACUGAGGAUUGAAAUGAGAAUAACUAGGGUGCCCCCUAUAGCUCCAGCUAUGAUUGCACUUUUUUUAGAUUGGAAAGAUUCAGAUGAUAUUCUGGGAGCACUUGAGUCAGAUCGAGCUGGAGCUGAAAUGGAAGGUGGUGCAGAUGGAUCACUUGUAGAUAAAUUUCCAAUUGGCUUCCUUGUAGGUGGUGCAGAUGGAUCACUUGUAGGUGGUGCAGAUGGAUCACUUGUAGAUGGUGCAGUUGACUCUUUUGGAGAUGGUGAGGGGGAUGUCCUAGAAGGACGAGGAGAAGUCACAUCUUUGUUAUUUUUAUUAUUUUUCAGCUGUCGUCUGUGAACUGCAUUUUCUAUACGCACAAGAUUCCUAUCGAAAAUGAAAAAGAAAGGCAUUAUAUUAUAAAAGCAUGGAGCACUUAAAACAUUAUGUACAAAGAAGAUCAAGAAACACAAGAUAAACUCAAGAAAAAUUCUAAAGGUAUGACAAUUCAGAGGUCACUUCAAUGUCAAAGACAUUAGGGAAAUGUCACCCCAUGGUCUAAAGAGCCCAUACAAUAACCUCAUAAGGACCCAUCUCCUGGAGUUUGCCCCAGACAUCCAGAGUGAUAUCACCCACAAGAGAGUAUCAUCAAGUUGAUCAUAGUGACAUACCAUG
RNAcentral lists this long non-coding RNA (666 nucleotides) under Populus trichocarpa (black cottonwood). Its description in RNAcentral is "long non-coding RNA (PTRI_LNC002111)". Lineage: Eukaryota; Viridiplantae; Streptophyta; Magnoliopsida; Malpighiales; Salicaceae. The record is from RNAcentral.